RNAcentral lists this ribosomal RNA (497 nucleotides) under uncultured bacterium. Its description in RNAcentral is "bacterial SSU rRNA". It matches the Rfam family "Bacterial small subunit ribosomal RNA", at positions 791 to 1296 of the family's 1533-position model. The record is from RNAcentral.
UAGUCCACGCCGUAAACGAUGGAUACUAGUUGUUGGACUUUUGUUCAGUGACUAAGCGAAAGUGAUAAGUAUCCCACCUGGGGAGUACGUUCGCAAGAAUGAAACUCAAAGGAAUUGACGGGGGCCCGCACAAGCGGUGGAGCAUGUGGUUUAAUUCGAUGAUACGCGAGGAACCUUACCAGGGCUUAAAUGUAAGUUGCAUAAGGCAGAGAUGCUUUUUUCUCGGACUACUUACAAGGUGCUGCAUGGUUGUCGUCAGCUCGUGCCGUGAGGUGUCAGGUUAAGUCCUAUAACGAGCGCAACCCCUAUCAUUAGUUGCUAGCAGGUCAUGCUGAGGACUCUAAUGAGACUGCCGGUGCAAACCGUGAGGAAGGUGGGGAUGACGUCAAAUCAUCACGGCCCUUACGUCCUGGGCUACACACGUGCUACAAUGGUAUAUACAGAGGGCAGCUACUUGGCAACAAGAUGCGAAUCCUAUAAAGUAUAUCUCAGUUCGG